Frieseomelitta varia is the source of this 1093-nucleotide long non-coding RNA. RefSeq lists it as uncharacterized. The record is from RefSeq and is a predicted model, not a curated record. Lineage: Eukaryota; Metazoa; Arthropoda; Insecta; Hymenoptera; Apidae. The transcript is spliced from 3 exons.
AAAUAGUUUUAGAAUAAAAAGAAAGAAUAAUUUAAACUGGUAUAAUUAUAAAGUUAAUAAAUCUCUUUCAAAAUUAUAUUUGUUAUAUAUUAUUAUAUAUUUGUUUAAUAUAAAGAAUUCUGUGAUUCUAAUAAUCAGUAGAUUUUGUAAAUUCUACACACAAAAUAAUGAAAAAUAUAUAAAAUACUGAAAAUAAAGUUAUUAUAAUAUGUAGUAGAUAAAAUAAAUCAUUAUUUAGAUUUCGUCUGUAAUUACAUCCAUAAAAAAUAUGAAUUUGCAUAAAUAUUCUCAAACUACUACUAAUUAAUUCUCCUUUUAAUGGUUCUCUUCUUAAUUCCACUUUUUAAUGAUUUGUUGAAUAAUCGAUGGACUUUUCUCGUCCUCGUUAUAUAUGUUCAAUAUUGAACAUAUAAUAUUUUCACGAUAUUGUUUUCGUAAUAAGCAACCGUGAAACUGAUUAGUCUUUCACUUUCUUCAAUCGUGAGGAAACACUAUGGUCGAAGAGACGUGAUGUUACAAGCCACUUAACGUGAAGUCAAAGAAGCAUCGCCUCACGGCAAUGGAUCAUUUGUUUCGAAAUUUCUGUGCUAGCCAACUAGAGAAUGAAAGCUAUGCCAGAGAUGAUACACAAGAAAUGCCGUAAUCUAUUUGAACUAUAUAUAGUUUCUUCUUUUCUACGUUCCUAUAAAUAUGUGUGAGGGAAUUAAAACAUUACGAAAUGAAAAUCACAUUAAGAAAAGUGACAAUAAAUAAAAAAUCAAGAGAGAAGAGAAGAGUUAAAUACGAAGAUCAAAACGUUUUGUGAUUACGCGUGAACUAGUCAUCUUUGUGUCAAGCAUUAAUGAAUCAUUCUUAUUCUCGUUGCCUCCAGAUUAUCCAAUCGACUGAAUAGGAUUUUUCUUCAUGAAUAAACAAAUACACGUUCAUAGAAAUUUUCUUUUUUAUGAAAUAAUCUUCCUGGAAUCUUUUGAAAAAUCAACCUAUAUGCAACGAAAUUACUUUAGUUUAUGUCUUUACUCCAUAAAAUAUUUCAAGAAUUUAACUUGUAUCUCAAGAAUUAAAGAAAAGCAUCUCAAGAAUCACUUACUUUGUU